RNAcentral lists this ribosomal RNA (586 nucleotides) under uncultured Serratia sp. Its description in RNAcentral is "bacterial SSU rRNA". It matches the Rfam family "Bacterial small subunit ribosomal RNA", at positions 37 to 612 of the family's 1533-position model. Lineage: Bacteria; Pseudomonadati; Pseudomonadota; Gammaproteobacteria; Enterobacterales; Yersiniaceae. The record is from RNAcentral.
UGGCGGCAGGCUUAACACAUGCAAGUCGAGCGGUAGCACAGGGGAGCUUGCUCCCUGGGUGACGAGCGGCGGACGGGUGAGUAAUGUCUGGGAAACUGCCUGAUGGAGGGGGAUAACUACUGGAAACGGUAGCUAAUACCGCAUAACGUCGCAAGACCAAAGAGGGGGACCUUCGGGCCUCUUGCCAUCAGAUGUGCCCAGAUGGGAUUAGCUAGUAGGUGGGGUAAUGGCUCACCUAGGCGACGAUCCCUAGCUGGUCUGAGAGGAUGACCAGCCACACUGGAACUGAGACACGGUCCAGACUCCUACGGGAGGCAGCAGUGGGGAAUAUUGCACAAUGGGCGCAAGCCUGAUGCAGCCAUGCCGCGUGUGUGAAGAAGGCCUUCGGGUUGUAAAGCACUUUCAGCGAGGAGGAAGGUGGUGAACUUAAUACGUUCAUCAAUUGACGUUACUCGCAGAAGAAGCACCGGCUAACUCCGUGCCAGCAGCCGCGGUAAUACGGAGGGUGCAAGCGUUAAUCGGAAUUACUGGGCGUAAAGCGCACGCAGGCGGUUUGUUAAGUCAGAUGUGAAAUCCCCGGGCUCAA